Molecule: transfer RNA, 65 nt
Filed under: Dipodomys ordii (Ord's kangaroo rat)
Lineage: Eukaryota; Metazoa; Chordata; Mammalia; Rodentia; Heteromyidae
Rfam family: tRNA
About the family: Transfer RNA (tRNA) molecules are approximately 80 nucleotides in length. Their secondary structure includes four short double-helical elements and three loops (D, anti-codon, and T loops). Further hydrogen bonds mediate the characteristic L-shaped molecular structure. tRNAs have two regions of fundamental functional importance: the anti-codon, which is responsible for specific mRNA codon recognition, and the 3' end, to which the tRNAs corresponding amino acid is attached (by aminoacyl-tRNA synthetases). tRNAs cope with the degeneracy of the genetic code in two manners: having more than one tRNA (with a specific anti-codon) for a particular amino acid; and 'wobble' base-pairing, i.e. permitting non-standard base-pairing at the 3rd anti-codon position.
Source: Rfam by way of RNAcentral
GUAGCUCAGUGGUAGAGCACUUGCCUCGCAUGCAUGAGGCCCUGAGUUCAAUUUGAGUCCUCAGC